Molecule: ribosomal RNA, 844 nt
Filed under: uncultured bacterium
Lineage: Bacteria
Description: bacterial SSU rRNA
Rfam family: Bacterial small subunit ribosomal RNA
Source: RNAcentral
CCUUUACCAGCCGGCGACCGGCGCACGGGUGAGUAACACGUAUGCAACCUGCCUGCCACAGCCGGAUAAUCGGGAGAAAUCCCGUCUAAUACGGCAUAAUGCACCUAUGGGACAUCCUGUUGGUGCCAAAGGUUAAUUCCGGUGGCGGAUGGGCAUGCGUCGCAUUAGUUAGUUGGCGGUGUAACGGACCACCAAGACGACGAUGCGUAGGGGUUCUGAGAGGAAGGUCCCCCACACUGGUACUGAGACACGGACCAGACUCCUACGGGAGGCAGCAGUGAGGAAUAUUGGUCAAUGGGCGGGAGCCUGAACCAGCCAAGUCGCGUGAGGGAUGACGGCCCUAUGGGUUGUAAACCUCUUUUGCCGGGGAGCAAGUGCCGCACGUGUGCGGUUUGGAGAGUACCCGGAGAAAAAGCAUCGGCUAACUCCGUGCCAGCAGCCGCGGUAAUACGGAGGAUGCGAGCGUUAUCCGGAUUUAUUGGGUUUAAAGGGUGCGUAGGCGGACGCUUAAGUCAGCGGUAAAAUUGCGGGGCUCAACCUCGUCGAGCCGUUGAAACUGGGUGUCUUGAGUGGGCGAGAAGUACGCGGAAUGCGUGGUGUAGCGGUGAAAUGCAUAGAUAUCACGCAGAACUCCGAUUGCGAAGGCAGCGUACCGGCGCCCAACUGACGCUGAAGCACGAAGGCGUGNGUAUCGAACAGGAUUAGAUACCCUGGUAGUCCACGCAGUAAACGAUGANUGCUAGUUGUCCGGGGCGAUUGAGUUCUGGGUGACACAGCGAAAGCGUUAAGCAUUCAACCUGGGGAAUACGCCGGCAACGGUGAAACUCAAAGGAAUUGACGGGGG